AAUGGACCUUUCCCCUUAUAACUAAAAUUUCGAUCUAGACAAAAAUUUCAUCACAGCUUGAAAGAGCAUCACAAAAUUAGUGAUGUUCCAAAGUUUUGUUGCAAAAUCUUGUAAAAUGCGGAUAAUAUAGCCUUGCAAAGUUUGCCGUUUUUCAGUCAUUUUGUAUUACAAACGGGAAAUUGACAUCCGAUUCGGGUGUUGGGGCUGCAAUUUCCCGUUUGUAAUGCAAAAUGACUGAAAAUUGCAAACUUCGCAAGGCUCUAUUUUCCUCAUUUUACAACAUUUCGCAACGAAACUUUGGAAUAUUACUAAUUUUGUGAUGCUCUUUCAAGCUGUGAUGAAAUAUUUGUCUAGACUUGCCUAGAUCAAAAUUUUGGUUAUAAGGGGAAAGGUCUAUUAAAGGCACAGUUCAGCCUUUUGAAUGAUGGUUUUUAAGGCCAUUUAAGCCUGUGAUAAUGACGUCAACGUCACAUCUAUUAACUGUGGUCACAUACUGUAUAUAGACAACAUUGCUUUGCGAGGACAUAAGCUGGACCGCAUGGCGAGCAAAGCAUGGCGAGCUUGAUAUUAUUGUAUUUGAAAAACAACUUAUAGUUAAUAGAACUUUACUUAUAGUUAAUAAAACUUUACUUAUAGUUAAUAAAACUUGGCAUGGAUAUUACACAGCCC
Non-coding RNA from Paramuricea clavata, 669 nucleotides. The record is from the annotation of a GenBank genome assembly. Lineage: Eukaryota; Metazoa; Cnidaria; Anthozoa; Malacalcyonacea; Plexauridae.